Bufo bufo (common toad) is the source of this 150-nucleotide long non-coding RNA. RefSeq lists it as uncharacterized. The record is from RefSeq and is a predicted model, not a curated record. The transcript has 3 exons. Lineage: Eukaryota; Metazoa; Chordata; Amphibia; Anura; Bufonidae.
CAAUGUUAAUGGGGCAGGCACUAUGCAUUUCACUGUUAAAGAUGCAGUCAUUGUUAAAGGGGUGGGCACUGUGGAGGUCUCUGUUAAAGGGGUGGCCACUGUGGAGGCCAAUGUUAAAGGGGCAGCCACUAUGAAGGUCACUGUUAAAGG